This 1393-nucleotide ribosomal RNA is filed under the name Lactiplantibacillus plantarum. Its description in RNAcentral is "bacterial SSU rRNA". It matches the Rfam family "Bacterial small subunit ribosomal RNA", at positions 63 to 1431 of the family's 1533-position model. Lineage: Bacteria; Bacillati; Bacillota; Bacilli; Lactobacillales; Lactobacillaceae. The record is from RNAcentral.
CUAGCAAUUGAUUGGUGCUUGCAUCAUGAUUUACAUUUGAGUGAGUGGCGAACUGGUGAGUAACACGUGGGAAACCUGCCCAGAAGCGGGGGAUAACACCUGGAAACAGAUGCUAAUACCGCAUAACAACUUGGACCGCAUGGUCCGAGUUUGAAAGAUGGCUUCGGCUAUCACUUUUGGAUGGUCCCGCGGCGUAUUAGCUAGAUGGUGAGGUAACGGCUCACCAUGGCAAUGAUACGUAGCCGACCUGAGAGGGUAAUCGGCCACAUUGGGACUGAGACACGGCCCAAACUCCUACGGGAGGCAGCAGUAGGGAAUCUUCCACAAUGGACGAAAGUCUGAUGGAGCAACGCCGCGUGAGUGAAGAAGGGUUUCGGCUCGUAAAACUCUGUUGUUAAAGAAGAACAUAUCUGAGAGUAACUGUUCAGGUAUUGACGGUAUUUAACCAGAAAGCCACGGCUAACUACGUGCCAGCAGCCGCGGUAAUACGUAGGUGGCAAGCGUUGUCCGGAUUUAUUGGGCGUAAAGCGAGCGCAGGCGGUUUUUUAAGUCUGAUGUGAAAGCCUUCGGCUCAACCGAAGAAGUGCAUCGGAAACUGGGAAACUUGAGUGCAGAAGAGGACAGUGGAACUCCAUGUGUAGCGGUGAAAUGCGUAGAUAUAUGGAAGAACACCAGUGGCGAAGGCGGCUGUCUGGUCUGUAACUGACGCUGAGGCUCGAAAGUAUGGGUAGCAAACAGGAUUAGAUACCCUGGUAGUCCAUACCGUAAACGAUGAAUGCUAAGUGUUGGAGGGUUUCCGCCCUUCAGUGCUGCAGCUAACGCAUUAAGCAUUCCGCCUGGGGAGUACGGCCGCAAGGCUGAAACUCAAAGGAAUUGACGGGGGCCCGCACAAGCGGUGGAGCAUGUGGUUUAAUUCGAAGCUACGCGAAGAACCUUACCAGGUCUUGACAUACUAUGCAAAUCUAAGAGAUUAGACGUUCCCUUCGGGGACAUGGAUACAGGUGGUGCAUGGUUGUCGUCAGCUCGUGUCGUGAGAUGUUGGGUUAAGUCCCGCAACGAGCGCAACCCUUAUUAUCAGUUGCCAGCAUUAAGUUGGGCACUCUGGUGAGACUGCCGGUGACAAACCGGAGGAAGGUGGGGAUGACGUCAAAUCAUCAUGCCCCUUAUGACCUGGGCUACACACGUGCUACAAUGGAUGGUACAACGAGUUGCGAACUCGCGAGAGUAAGCUAAUCUCUUAAAGCCAUUCUCAGUUCGGAUUGUAGGCUGCAACUCGCCUACAUGAAGUCGGAAUCGCUAGUAAUCGCGGAUCAGCAUGCCGCGGUGAAUACGUUCCCGGGCCUUGUACACACCGCCCGUCACACCAUGAGAGUUUGUAACACCCAAAGUCGGU